Non-coding RNA from Paramuricea clavata, 86 nucleotides. The record is from the annotation of a GenBank genome assembly. Lineage: Eukaryota; Metazoa; Cnidaria; Anthozoa; Malacalcyonacea; Plexauridae.
AUUAGCCUGCUCGCAGCCUGAAAUUUAGAAGGGAAAAAUUUCUGAUAUUUUCCCCUUCUAAAUUUCAGGCUGCGAGCAGGCUAGGA